UAUGAUAUAUUAAUGGUGUAGUUGGAAUCCGACUACUAGUCUUUUAUAUUCAUGAACAUAUUACUCUUGGAGGCAACUACAUGUUGCCUCUUUUUU
RNAcentral lists this small RNA (96 nucleotides) under Staphylococcus arlettae. RNAcentral's name for it is "Staphylococcus sRNA71 small RNA". It matches the Rfam family "Staphylococcus sRNA71 small RNA". From Rfam's summary of the family: sRNA71 is a Bacterial small RNA discovered by RNA-seq analysis of the multiresistant Staphylococcus aureus strain ST239 grown in the presence of antibiotics and found throughout the Staphylococcus genus. It is thought to be a trans-encoded small RNA expressed in diverse conditions and media. The 5' position is uncertain, this record adds 12 bases to the initial sRNA71 sequence to include additional conserved nucleotides. The record is from RNAcentral. Lineage: Bacteria; Bacillati; Bacillota; Bacilli; Caryophanales; Staphylococcaceae.